GUGAAAUAGACGGUCGAUAAGAGAUGAAGUCUGUGUCUUAAUUGUUUUGUGUAGGAAGUCAUCGGACUGUUGCAAUCAAAGGGAGGCGAGUUAUAAAUGUGACACUACAUUUUAACCAGUAGUAGUCUUUGUUGCAGAACUGUAGGAACCACAUCGAUGUCCAGAAGUUUGUUACACCUGACAACAUAACAACCCUUCUCAUUGAAGAUGGCUUCUUUCUUUAUUUUGUCCUCUGUUUUCACAGAGCAGGAUGAGAGCUGUAAUCUAUGAGGGGUUAAAAGUGGCAGAACAUAUGGGAUGUUUAAAAAAUAUAUAUAUUUAAAAAAUAAUAAUAAAGCAACAUCGCAUGUUGUAAACCUUUAUAUAUAGAUUAAGAUAUAGUAUUUGUAAGGAUUUUUACAGAGCAUAAUCCAGAAACUGGUAUGAGUUGGUAUUUUUCUAACGAUUUGCACACCUGUAUUUUGACAAAGGCUAUAACAUGUUUGUAAUGGGUAUUGUAAUGCACAUACAGUAACAUUUGACAGUACUAAAAUCUUUAUCUGUAAUUGGCUGUAAUUUAUGUAUCAUUUCAACCUGGACUCAGAGGGUAGACGUAACACAGUAAAUGAAAAUCUGGGACUCUCCAAUUAGUACGAUAUAUUACGUUUGGUAUGGUAUGUAUUCAUUUGUGAAUGUCCAUCAUCCAUUUCAUAUGAUAUGUUACGAACUCCAAUUCUUAUGACGUGUUACGAAUUCUAAUUUGCUGUGGCUAACUUUAGCUAGUUGGCAAAGUGGCUGAUGCUAACGUUAGCUAGGUGGCUAAUAUUAGCUAUGCUAGUGGUUAGGAGUUAAGGUUAGGGUUAAUGUUACGAUUAGGAGUUAAAUUAAAGGUAUAAGGUUAGGGUUAGACGAAGGGUUAGCUAACAUGCUAAGUAGUUGCAAAUGAGCUAAAAUGCUAAAGUUGUCUGUGAUGAGAAUCGAACUAGACGGUGACGUUAUAAGCCAAACCAUCCACCCCAACCAACCCCCCUCCUUUCAUUUUUGCCUUAAGUAACCUUCCGUCUUAUGGAACCAUACCGAACGUAGCAUAGCAUACUAAUUUGAGUUUCCCAGGUUUUCGUUUACUAUGUUACGUCUACUCUAUGAAACCAGC
This is a long non-coding RNA of Oncorhynchus tshawytscha (Chinook salmon), 1132 nucleotides long. NCBI's taxonomy places the organism in Eukaryota, Metazoa, Chordata, Actinopteri, Salmoniformes, Salmonidae. The record is from Ensembl.